This 445-nucleotide ribosomal RNA is filed under the name uncultured bacterium. RNAcentral's name for it is "partial 16S ribosomal RNA". It matches the Rfam family "Bacterial small subunit ribosomal RNA", at positions 354 to 796 of the family's 1533-position model. The record is from RNAcentral.
GUGAGGAAUAUUGGUCAAUGGGCGGGAGCCUGAACCAGCCAAGUCGCGUGAAGGAAGAAGGAUCUAUGGUUCGUAAACUUCUUUUGCAGGGGAAUAAAGUGCAGGACGUGUCCUGUUUUGUAUGUACCCUGAGAAUAAGGAUCGGCUAACUCCGUGCCAGCAGCCGCGGUAAUACGGAGGAUCCGAGCGUUAUCCGGAUUUAUUGGGUUUAAAGGGUGCGUAGGUGGUUUGAUAAGUCAGCGGUGUAAGUUUGCAGCUUAACUGUAAAAAUGCCGUUGAAACUGUCGGACUUGAGUGUAAAUGAGGUAGGCGGAAUGCGUGGUGUAGCGGUGAAAUGCAUAGAUAUCACGCAGAACUCCGAUUGCGAAGGCAGCUUACUAAGCUACAACUGACACUGAAGCACGAAAGCGUGGGGAUCAAACAGGAUUAGAAACCCCAGUAGCCC